ACCUUAGGGUUUGCAAGAUUAUAAUAGAAACCGAUAACUAACUUGUUAUUUCUGAAACUAUUUCAGGUACAAAUGGCGUUCGUGGUGAGAUUGAUACCUGGGGAGUGGAAAAGAGAUGAAAACGGAAUUUUCGAACACAUCUCGCAUGUAGAUGGGUUUGAAUUCGGAGUCCGACUGCGUGAGAGAGAUAGUUUUGCGAAGAUUGUUAUGGCGGGAAAAGAUAGAUUAGCGUUAGGGCCAGAUGACGAUAUCGAGUUAACGUACCAGUGGCCACAGUGGAUGCUCGGUCCUGAUUGGAAACGAGCGAACCCAAUUGACAUAUUGGAUGACGAAGAUACGACACUGUUCGUGGCUAUUAGGGCAUAUCUGGAUGAAGUGCAUCUGCUAGUGAAGAUUAUACGAGGUGGAAAUGUUCGAAACGUUAAUAGUUACCGCAGUAACAUGGAUCUAAGCGGUUUGAGUUCGAAAGAAAUAUCGGAUAAAUACUAAAAUUGUGCGGAAACAAGAGCUGUAUGGGGUACCGCGUUAACCAGAAUGCUGUUGCGUAACCUCUCGGGUAAACCUCAAAACCACGUUAAUGAUAAUAUUUAAGUUAUCAAAUAAGUUGGAUAUCUGUUAAUAAUAUUUAGAUUUCAGGAGACGGACAAGAUAUAGCAACCAUGGGGGACACCAACGACGUCGGCAUACGUAAAGAGAUUGAAUAACACAACCCGUAUGGAGGUGUCAUCAUAAGGGAAAACACGGAGAUUGCAGCGGAGACUAGCGAGACGCCAUCGAAAGUACCACAACCAGGGGCAAUUACAAGUUUGAAAGGCAAAGAGAAGGUUAUAGAUGACGAUGAGAGAGAAAAAGAUCGUUUAUUCGAGGUGUGGAGAACAAAUCAACAAGAAGCAAUGUUGCGUGAAAUGUGUUCAAGAGAAAUGUCGCUAAAAGGGAGUCAACCGAGUGAAACAAACGGAUGCGAUAAAGAGAAGACAGCGAGAGCACUAGACUUCGGAAGUACAUAUCAUGCAAACGACAAUGAAAUUGAAAAUUUGCAUUUGACCCUUGUAGGGGCAGAAUCGCAAGCUGUUGGACCACAAAUAGUCGCAUUGUCUUCAAGUGAUUCAACCUUCGGGACGCCAACUUCGAUAUCAACGAGCGUUUCUUUCUGCAGCGAAGACCUAAUGGAUGAUACUGACUCUUCCGACAGCCUUAGCGUAUCGGUGAUAGGUUUGUUAACAAA
Molecule: small RNA, 1225 nt
Filed under: Arabidopsis thaliana (thale cress)
Lineage: Eukaryota; Viridiplantae; Streptophyta; Magnoliopsida; Brassicales; Brassicaceae
Description: ATSL209520
Source: RNAcentral